AUGUCUUCUUCAAGCUCCCGCGCCACCUCACGGGUCCAGCGCCCGACGCGCGUCGAGAUGCCGAUCUUCGUCUAUCUGUAGUGCCGGGCGGGCGUUGAUCGGAGGGUUUAUCACACACCAAAGAACCAUAAUUGUCUGUUCUACGUGUGCAGUGAGAAUGUGGUGCAAUGUUUCUUCCUUUGGGUCGAUGCUCUAGCCAAGACUCUGAUGAAUGAACUGCAAGAAGAGCACGAAGAAUGGUUGCCCUUCCUGCCAUGAACGGCAGUGGCCGCAACAUGAGCUCCGGAAGAAGAGACGGAGGGCGAAGCACGCAAUGACAGAGAGCUAGCUGUUGAGCUUAGGAGGUUGAACAAGAAGGUUACGAAGGUCGAAGAUCAAGCACAAAUAACCAUUUGUAACUACUUUUGGGAAUUUGUAGGUAUGGUAAUCGCACUGGGUGUAAUGUUGAAAUUAUAUGGACAGGCAUGA
RNAcentral lists this ribosomal RNA (468 nucleotides) under Triticum aestivum (bread wheat). RNAcentral describes it as "partial small subunit ribosomal RNA". The record is from RNAcentral. Lineage: Eukaryota; Viridiplantae; Streptophyta; Magnoliopsida; Poales; Poaceae.